This 100-nucleotide non-coding RNA is filed under the name human gut metagenome. RNAcentral's name for it is "SAM riboswitch (S box leader)". It matches the Rfam family "SAM riboswitch aptamer (S box leader)". Rfam says of the family: The SAM riboswitch is found upstream of a number of genes which code for proteins involved in methionine or cysteine biosynthesis in Gram-positive bacteria. The SAM riboswitch acts at the level of transcription termination control. The record is from RNAcentral.
CUUAUCAAGAGCGGCAGAGGGAACAGGCCCUGUGAAGCCCGACAACCUGCAUUUUUUUAGAAUGUAAGGUGCCAAAUCCUGCGGGAAACCGAGAGAUAAG